Molecule: ribosomal RNA, 445 nt
Filed under: uncultured Odoribacter sp.
Lineage: Bacteria; Pseudomonadati; Bacteroidota; Bacteroidia; Bacteroidales; Odoribacteraceae
Description: bacterial SSU rRNA
Rfam family: Bacterial small subunit ribosomal RNA
Source: RNAcentral
GUGAGGAAUAUUGGUCAAUGGACGUAAGUCUGAACCAGCCAAGUCGCGUGAGGGAUGACUGCCCUAUGGGUUGUAAACCUCUUUUAUAAGGGAAGAAUAAGUUCUACGAGUAGAAUGAUGACAGUACCAUACGAAUAAGCAUCGGCUAACUCCGUGCCAGCAGCCGCGGUAAUACGGAGGAUGCGAGCGUUAUCCGGAUUUAUUGGGUUUAAAGGGUGCGUAGGCGGCAUUAUAAGUUAGUGGUUAAAUAUUUGAGCUAAACCUCACUUGUGCCAUUAAUACUGGUAAACUGGAGUACAGACGAGGUAGGCGGAAUAAGUUAAGUAGCGGUGAAAUGCAUAGAUAUAACUUAGAACACCGAUAGCGAAGGCAGCUUACCAGACUGUAACUGACGCUGAUGCACGAGAGCAUGGGUAGCGAACAGGAUUAGAUACCCUGGUAGUCC